GAUGAACGCUGGCGGCGUGCCUAAUACAUGCAAGUCGAGCGAACAGACGAGGAGCUUGCUCCUCUGACGUUAGCGGCGGACGGGUGAGUAACACGUGGAUAACCUACCUAUAAGACUGGGAUAACUUCGGGAAACCGGAGCUAAUACCGGAUAACAUGUUGAACCGCAUGGUUCAACAGUGAAAGACGGUCUUGCUGUCACUUAUAGAUGGAUCCGCGCCGCAUUAGCUAGUUGGUAAGGUAACGGCUUACAAAGGCAACGAUGCGUAGCCGACCUAAGAGGGUGAUCGGCCACACUGGAACUGAGACACGGUCCAGACUCCUACGGGAGGCAGCAGUAGGGAAUCUUCCGCAAUGGGCGAAAGCCUGACGGAGCAACGCCGCGUGAGUGAAGAAGGUCUUCGGAUCGUAAAACUCUGUUAUUAGGGAAGAACAAAUGUGUAAGUAACUAUGCACGUCUUGACGGUACCUAAUCAGAAAGCCACGGCUAACUACGUGCCAGCAGCCGCCGUAA
Molecule: ribosomal RNA, 513 nt
Filed under: uncultured bacterium
Lineage: Bacteria
Description: partial 16S ribosomal RNA
Rfam family: Bacterial small subunit ribosomal RNA
Source: RNAcentral